Molecule: ribosomal RNA, 3234 nt
Filed under: metagenome
Description: bacterial LSU rRNA
Rfam family: Bacterial large subunit ribosomal RNA
Source: RNAcentral
GUAAGUUAUUAAGGGCACACGGUGGAUGCCUUGGCAUUAAGAGCCGAUGAAGGACGUGUGAAUCUGCGAUAAGCCUCGGGGAGCCGAUAACUGGGCUGUGAUCCGAGGAUUUCCGAAUGGGGAAACCUGGCUCAUCUUCAUGGUGAGUUACCGCCAGCUGAAUGUAUAGGCUGGUUGGGGGGAACGCGGGGAAGUGAAACAUCUCAGUACCCGCAGGAAGAGAAAAUAAAGUAAUGAUUCUGUGAGUAGUGGCGAGCGAAAGCGGAAGAGACUAAACCUGUGGUGUGUGAUAGCGGUUAGGCGUUGCAUCAUGGGGGUUGUGGGAGUCACAGUGGCAGUUCUAACUGGCUGCCGGCAUGAUGUUCAGGAUGGUAGGUGAACGACUUGGAAUGGUCGGCCGUAGAGGGUGAGAGUCCCGUAAUCGAAAUUGUUCUGUCCGUGGUGUGGCCACCCGAGUAGCACGGGGCUCGUGGAAUCUCGUGUGAAUCUGCCAGGACCACCUGGUAAGUCUAAAUACUUCUUAAUGACCGAUAGUGAAUCAGUACCGUGAGGGAAUGGUGAAAAGUACCCCGGGAGGGGAGUGAAAUAGUACCUGAAACCGUGUGCUUACAAGCCGUUGGAGCCUUUUGGGGUGACAGCGUGCCUUUUGAAGAAUGAGCCUGCGAGUUAGUGUUAUGUCGCGAGGUUAACCCGUGUGGGGUAUCCGUAGCGAAAGCGAGUCUGAAUAGGGCGUUUGAGUGGCAUGACCUAGACCCGAAGCGGAGUGAUCUAUCCAUGGCCAGGUUGAAGCGACGGUAAGACGUCGUGGAGGACCGAACCCACUUCAGUUGAAAAUGGAGGGGAUGAGCUGUGGAUAGGGGUGAAAGGCCAAUCAAACUCUGUGAUAGCUGGUUCUCCCCGAAAUGCAUUUAGGUGCAGCGUUACGUGUUUCUUGCCGGAGGUAGAGCUACUGGAUGGCCGAUGGGCCUUCACGGGUUACUGACGUCAGCUAAACUCCGAAUGCCGGUAAGUGAGAGCGUAGCAGUGAGACAGUGGGGGAUAAGCUUCAUUGUCGAGAGGGAAACAGCCCAGACCACCAACUAAGGCCCCUAAGCGUGUGCUAAGUGGGAAAGGAUGUGGAGUUGCUUAGACAACCAGGAGGUUGGCUUAGAAGCAGCCAUCCUUGAAAGAGUGCGUAACAGCUCACUGGUCAAGUGAUUCUGCGCCGAUAAUGUAGCGGGGCUCAAGUACACCGCCGAAGUUGUGGCAAUGACCUUUUUUGGUUGUUGGGUAGGGGAGCGUCGUGUAGCCGGUGAAGCUGCGGUGUAAACCAGUGGUGGAGGCUAUGCGAGUGAGAAUGCAGGCAUGAGUAGCGAAAGAUGAGUGAGAAACUCAUCCGCCGGAUGAUCAAGGGUUCCAGGGUCAAGUUAAUCUGCCCUGGGUUAGUCGGGGCCUAAGGCGAGGCCGACAGGCGUAGUCGAUGGAUAACGGGUUGAUAUUCCCGUACCGGUGAAAAACCGCCCAUACUGAUAUUGUGAUGCUAACCAUGCGAAGCAUGAUGUGCAGGCUUUUGUUUGUGUGUUGUGUGGGUUGUGGGACCCGAUCUUUGGAGGUAAACGUGUUAACAGGUGUGACGCAGGAAGGUAGCCAAGCCACGCGAUGGUUGUCGUGGUCUAAGCGUGUAGGGUUGUCGGUUGUUAAAUGCGCCGGCUGUGUGCCUGAGACGUGAUGGGACCCCGUUUUUGGGGGAUUUGGUGAUCCUAUGCUGCCGAGAAAAGCAUCGGCGUGAGGUUUUAGCCGCCCGUACCCUAAACCGACACAGGUGAUCAGGUAGAGAAUACUAAGGCGAUCGAGAGAAUCAUGGUUAAGGAACUCGGCAAAAUGCCCCCGUAACUUCGGGAGAAGGGGGACCUUGAGCGUGAUGGGCACUUGCUGCCUGGAGCGUGUAUGGGUCGCAGAGACCAGGGGGAAGCGACUGUUUAUCAAAAACACAGGUCCGUGCGAAGUCGUAAGACGAUGUAUACGGACUGACUCCUGCCCGGUGCUGGAAGGUUAAGAGGAUUGGUUAGCCUUUGUGGCGAAGCUGAGAAUUUAAGCCCCAGUAAACGGCGGUGGUAACUAUAACCAUCCUAAGGUAGCGAAAUUCCUUGUCGGGUAAGUUCCGACCUGCACGAAUGGAGUAACGACUUCCCUACUGUCUCAACCAUGAACUCGGCGAAAUUGCAGUACGAGUAAAGAUGCUCGUUUCGCGCAGCAGGACGGAAAGACCCCGUGACCUUUACUAUAGUUUGGUAUUGGUGUUUGGUUUGGCUUGUGUAGGAUAGGUGGGAGACUGUGAAGCAUGGACGCUAGUUUGUGUGGAGUCGUUGUUGAAAUACCACUCUGGUCAAUCUGGAUGUCUAACUUCGGGCCAUGAUCUGGUUCAGGGACAGUGCCUGAUGGGUAGUUUAACUGGGGCGGUUGCCUCCUAAAGUGUAACGGAGGCGCCCAAAGGUUCCCUCAGCCUGGUUGGCAAUCAGGUGUUGAGUGUAAGUGCACAAGGGAGCUUGACUGUGAGACUGGCAGGUCGAGCAGGGACGAAAGUCGGGACUAGUGAUCCGGCGGUACGUUGUGGAACGGCCGUCGCUCAACGGAUAAAAGGUACCUCGGGGAUAACAGGCUGAUCUUGCCCAAGAGUCCAUAUCGACGGCAUGGUUUGGCACCUCGAUGUCGGCUCGUCGCAUCCUGGGGCUGGAGUCGGUCCCAAGGGUUGGGCUGUUCGCCCAUUAAAGCGGUACGCGAGCUGGGUUCAGAACGUCGNNNNNNNNNNNNNNNNNNNNNNNNNNNNNNNNNNNNNNGGUUUGGCACCUCGAUGUCGGCUCGUCGCAUCCUGGGGCUGGAGUCGGUCCCAAGGGUUGGGCUGUUCGCCCAUUAAAGCGGUACGCGAGCUGGGUUCAGAACGUCGUGAGACAGUUCGGUCCCUAUCCGCUGCGCGCGUUGGAAAUUUGAGAAAGGCUGUCCUUAGUACGAGAGGACCGGGACGGACGAACCUCUGGUAUGUCAGUUGUACCGCCAGGUGCAUGGCUGAUUGGCUACGUUCGGGAGGGAUAACCGCUGAAAGCAUCUAAGCGGGAAGCCUGUUUCGAGAUGAGAUUUCCUGGCACUUUUUGGUGUGUGAGGCUCCUUAUAGAUGAUGAGGUUGAUAGGCCGGGUAUGGAAGCGGGGACUGAAGACUCGUGGAGUUGACUGGUACUAAUAGGCCGAAGGCUUACUUUU